Molecule: long non-coding RNA, 216 nt
Filed under: Manihot esculenta (cassava)
Lineage: Eukaryota; Viridiplantae; Streptophyta; Magnoliopsida; Malpighiales; Euphorbiaceae
Description: long non-coding RNA (MESC_LNC003230)
Source: RNAcentral
UAUGAUGUUUAUGUAAACCAACUCAACUUAUGUUAUGUCACCCAUUGGGGGCACUGAUGAGAUUCCACAGAGGGAUCAAUGUUAUGUUAAUGUUUAUGUACAGGUUGAGUUGGGUUGAUGUAUAUGCCAAGAAAAGUUUUAAUUUUUAUGUAUGUUGUUGAUCAUGUAUGGGAUUAUACAGGUUUACAGGUUAUAUGUCAGGCUUGCUACGGGUCC